CACGUAGGGCGCAAGCGUUGUCCGGAAUUAUUGGGCGUAAAGAGCUCGUAGGCGGUCUGUUGCGUCCGCUGUGAAAACCCGGGGCUUAACCCCUGGCUUGCAGUGGAUACGGACAGACUAGAGGUAGGUAGGGGAGAAUGGAAUCCCCGGUGUAGCGGUGAAAUGCGCAGAUAUCGGGAGGAACACCGGUGGCGAAGGCGGUUCUCUGGGCCUUACCUGACGCUGAGGAGCGAAAGCGUGGGGAGCGAACAGG
RNAcentral lists this ribosomal RNA (253 nucleotides) under uncultured bacterium. RNAcentral's name for it is "partial 16S ribosomal RNA". It matches the Rfam family "Bacterial small subunit ribosomal RNA", at positions 524 to 776 of the family's 1533-position model. The record is from RNAcentral.